Molecule: long non-coding RNA, 246 nt
Filed under: Piliocolobus tephrosceles (Ugandan red Colobus)
Lineage: Eukaryota; Metazoa; Chordata; Mammalia; Primates; Cercopithecidae
Description: lncRNA (ENSPTEG00000003767.1)
Source: RNAcentral
GAGGACUCGAGCCAGACCUCAGGCCCGGGCCAGAGAGGCCGCAGCGUAGGGCUGGGACUGGAGGAGCAGAUACCAGACUAGCAAACCAUAGCCAGAGCCUCUGCUACACACACCACCAGCACCUGAGGUGGGGAUGGCAAACAUAACAGAGAACGGAAUGACAUAGUCUCACUCUGUCAUCCAGGCUAGGGUACAGUGGUGCAAUCUCAGCUCACUGCAACCUCCGCCUACCAGGUUCAAGUGAUU